UACGAAGGGGGCUAGCGUUGCUCGGAAUCACUGGACGUAAAGGGUGCGUAGGCGGGUCUUUAAGUCAGGGGUGAAAUCCUGGAGCUCAACUCCAGAACUGCCUUUGAUACUGAGGAUCUUGAGUUCGGGAGAGGUGAGUGGAACUGCGAGUGUAGAGGUGAAAUUCGUAGAUAUUCGCAAGAACACCAGUGGCGAAGGCGGCUCACUGGCCCGAUACUGACGCUGAGGCACGAAAGCGUGGGGAGCAAACAGG
Molecule: ribosomal RNA, 253 nt
Filed under: uncultured bacterium
Lineage: Bacteria
Description: partial 16S ribosomal RNA
Rfam family: Bacterial small subunit ribosomal RNA
Source: RNAcentral